UUUUUAGAUUUCGCAGCGACCAAACUCGAUAUAUGCAGUGACCGAAAAAUCAUACAUCCUUGGCCAGUGUAUUCUUCGCUGAUGGGUUGCGAACAUUGCCCAAAAUCAUUCAUUAUUGAUAUCUCAGUGCGAAAAGACUGAUUGAAUAUAGAAGAGUAAUUCCCAUUAAUAUAAACCAUAGGGGGUGGACAUAGGUAACGUUUCUCUGACCCAUAAGACUUUUGUAUGACAGAGGAAUGUCGACACGAAACUGUUACCAGCUGACUAGGUUUCCCUGAACGUGUAAGUGAAAUUUUGUGCACACUGUCCUCAUUCAAAUUAGCAAUGCCAAUACAACAAUUGUUCAGUAAAUCCAAAUGAUCUGAUAUGGCUCUUCGGAUCAUCUCUACAGAACUGUCUUCAUCAAAGGUUUUUCUUUUUCUAUUAAACCCAGGAGGAGAAGGAGCAGGAAUUAUGUUUUGGGCCAGCUCGUCCAACGAAUUAGACGCCUUUGCUACAGCAGGAAAAAUUGACUGUUCAUCCUUAACUACAGAAGGGAAUUCCUCUGAUUUUUCCAAAGUAGCCAAAGCUGAGUUUACAGCACUGAAGAGAGACAAAACCUGCAUGGAAACACUUCCAGGACUCCCGCUUCCAACUCUUUCAGAAUUUUCAUUCCUUCCUCCAGCUCCAUCC
Molecule: non-coding RNA, 672 nt
Organism: Schizosaccharomyces pombe (fission yeast)
Lineage: Eukaryota; Fungi; Ascomycota; Schizosaccharomycetes; Schizosaccharomycetales; Schizosaccharomycetaceae
Source: the annotation of a GenBank genome assembly